ACUCUUUUAGUAUAAACAGUACUAUUAACUUCCAAUUAAUCAGCUUCGAUAACACUCGAAAAAGAGUA
Molecule: transfer RNA, 68 nt
Filed under: Nomascus concolor (Black crested gibbon)
Lineage: Eukaryota; Metazoa; Chordata; Mammalia; Primates; Hylobatidae
Description: tRNA-Gly
Source: RNAcentral